Molecule: ribosomal RNA, 301 nt
Filed under: uncultured bacterium
Lineage: Bacteria
Description: partial 16S ribosomal RNA
Rfam family: Bacterial small subunit ribosomal RNA
Source: RNAcentral
CAGUCGCCGCGGUAAAACGGAGGGUGCAAGCGUUAAUCGGAAUUACUGGGCGUAAAGCGCACGCAGGCGGUCUGACAAGUCAGAUGUGAAAUCCCCGGGCUUAACCUGGGAACUGCAUUUGAAACUGUCAGGCUGGAGUCUUGUAGAGGGGGGUGGAAUUCCAGGUGUAGCGGUGAAAUGCGUAGAGAUCUGGAGGAAUACCGGUGGCGAAGGCGGCCCCCUGGACAAAGACUGACGCUCAGGUGCGAAAGCGUGGGGAGCAAACAGGAUUAGAUACCCCUGUAGUCCCUGUCUCUUAUAC